This 537-nucleotide unclassified non-coding RNA is filed under the name Hevea brasiliensis (rubber tree). Lineage: Eukaryota; Viridiplantae; Streptophyta; Magnoliopsida; Malpighiales; Euphorbiaceae. The record is from RNAcentral.
GCGAGAUGACCCCUCUGUACUAUUUCUGGAAAUCUCAUGCUCUGAGAUUUCCUUAUCCAACUUCUGAAAACCGUCCGCAGAAUCAUAUGAACCACUAACAUAUUUGAUCAACUGCAGAAACUUGGAUACUUCUUCUAACUGCUCUGAGUCAGUAGUUUUGCCUUGAACAAGAUACCCACGUAUGCGGUUUCUUAGAUCAUCAUCUGAAAUUUUCGACCUCGCAUAGCCAAAAAUGUGAACUUCAUUUGAUUGUAGGAAUCCCUGGACAAAGAGGUGGAAGAGAGCUGGAAAAGUCUUCUUUUUAGCAAGAUCUCCUGAUGCUCCAAGCACAAUAAUCGAGAGACAGCCAGUUUCCGGCACAUUCUCCUCUCCUGUAAAAGAGUCAUUUCGAAGAGAAGAUCUGUUCACAAUGUGCCAUAAUCCAGAGUCCAUCUUUUAAGCUAUGCCUCUUCUGUCCGUCUUUUUCUUGUUCAGAAUGGGGUGGAAAUGAAUGGAGAUUUUAGAGAUUCGGUGGGAUUUUAAACCGUUGUGAUCGCU